RNAcentral lists this ribosomal RNA (1131 nucleotides) under Triticum aestivum (bread wheat). RNAcentral's name for it is "partial small subunit ribosomal RNA". Lineage: Eukaryota; Viridiplantae; Streptophyta; Magnoliopsida; Poales; Poaceae. The record is from RNAcentral.
GACCACCUCCGCGUCUACGUCUACGCCGAGGACGAGGUCGACGGCCUGCGCGAGCUGCUCCGCGGGCGCGACGGCGCCGUCUCCGCCGCCACCUGCCUCAAGGGCCAGUGGGGAACGCAGGUGAAGAUCCACCAGCUUCUCCUCAGGUCAAGGUAUAGAACACUGGACAAGGACGAAGCGCAUCUCUUCUUUGUUCCCAGCUAUGUCAAAUGUGUUCGCAUGACAGGAGGUCUCACCGACAAGGAAAUCAAUCAGACAUAUGUCAAGGUUCUGGGUCAGAUGCCAUAUUUCCGCAGAUCGGGUGGGCGUGACCACAUUUUCGUCUUCCCAAGCGGUGCUGGAGCUCACCUGUUUCGCUCGUGGGCAACUUUUCUGAAUCGAUCCAUCAUCCUCACUCCAGAGGGUGACCGUACUGACAAGCGAGGUAUAAGCGCAUUUAAUACAUGGAAAGACAUUAUUAUCCCGGGGAAUGUGGAUGAUUCUAUGGUGAAACCUGAUGCUCGUGCUGUCCAACCAAUUCCGUUGACGAAAAGGAAGUAUUUAGCAAACUUUCUUGGUCGUGCCCAGGGAAAAGUAGGCCGUCUUAAAUUGGUGGAACUGGCAAAGCAGUAUCCUGACAAGCUGGAGUCUCCAGAACUGAAGUUGUCUGGGCCUGACAAAUUGGGUAGGGUUGAUUACUUCAAACACCUGAGGAAUGCAAAGUUUUGCCUAGCUCCUCGUGGGGAGUCUUCGUGGACACUUCGCUUUUAUGAAUCUUUCUUUGUGGAAUGUGUGCCAGUUCUUUUAUCAGAUGAGGUUGAGCUCCCUUUCCAGAAUGUGAUUGACUACACUGAGAUAUCGAUAAAAUGGCCAUCGUCCAAGAUCGGUCCUGAACUUUUCCAGUACCUUGAGUCGAUACCAGAGGAAAGGAUCGAGGAGAUGAUCGCCCGUGGACGCGAGGUGAGAUGCAUGUGGGUGUACGCCGUGGACACGGAGCCCUGCUCCGCGAUGACUGCCAUCAUGUGGGAGCUGCAGAGGAAGGUGAGGCGGUUCCACCAGUCCGCAGAAACCUUCUGGCUUCACAACAGGUCGAUCGUGAACAGAGAAUUGGUGGAGUUCCGGCAGUGGGGAACAUCUGUUCCAUUACCAUGA